RNAcentral lists this unclassified non-coding RNA (224 nucleotides) under Coniophora puteana. RNAcentral's name for it is "ITS1". The record is from RNAcentral. Lineage: Eukaryota; Fungi; Basidiomycota; Agaricomycetes; Boletales; Coniophoraceae.
AAGGAUCAUUAUCGAUUCAAACCAAAUGAGAGGGAAGUUGUCAUAGUAGUGCUGGCCUCUGUCAUGGAGGUAUUGUGCACGCUCGACUUCUUCCUUUCUUCAUUUACACACCUGUGAACUUGUUGUAGGGUUGUCUCGCAAGAGACGCUCUAUGUCUUUCUCAUAUACUCCAUAAUGUUUAUAGAAUGUACCUUUUUGCUCUCGUCAGAGACAAAAAUAAAGCC